Molecule: long non-coding RNA, 339 nt
Organism: Hordeum vulgare subsp. vulgare (domesticated barley)
Lineage: Eukaryota; Viridiplantae; Streptophyta; Magnoliopsida; Poales; Poaceae
Exons: 2
Source: RefSeq, a predicted model, not a curated record
UUGGAGAAGAAGAAUAGUGGAUAUCCUCCCCAUGGCGCUUCUCAUGAACAACCCAAGGGUUUUGUGCUUGACAGCUGUUCUUGUGCUAUCCGCCACAUUCUUAUCAUGUGAUGCAUCUUAUGGGAUCAAAGAUGGAGAAGGUUUUAACAAGUUUUGUGUGGGAUGGGACCAAGGCUGCAAGGACCCGGUGAAGGGGAUCCCUAGUCAGUGUCAGAUUUACUGCAGAGAUAACGGUUUUGUCUUACAGAAAGGCAAAUGUGCACCGGACAAUGGAAAGCCCAACCGCAUGUGUUGUUGCUAUAAGUAGAGACUUGUGUGUGAAUCCAUGAAGAUUUUUUU